AGAGAGCAGAGCUGCAGAUAAGGGUGACUUCCUGGAACAAAGAGUCCCUCUCUCCAACCCACAUGGCUGCAGCCCUUCCCGGGCAUCGGGCCCCUGGGCUCUGUCCUUGCACAACCGUCCUGUGAGGGCCACGGAGUAAGGCCCCUGGUGUGACGGGGACUAGGCCAUCCCUGCAGGCCAAACCUUCCUUGAGGCCUUCACUCUGCAAACCUUUUCCAGCUGGCUAUGGGAAGUCGGGGAAGGGCUGAUCCCAAGAGCAACGGGGGGCCACCCUCGACCCUCGUCGUAAGCCGUGUGGGCAACAGCAGCGAGCGGCGUGCUGGGAGGGCCACUCUGGGCAACGGGACCGACGAGCUGCUCCGCCACGGGGACGGUGCCUCCCUCAGAAUUCCUUGUCUCCCCUCCAACAGUUCGAGCAGAUUCCAGUCUUGACAACGCGGGACCCCAUUCUGCUCCAACAAGGUGAAGCGGAUGGUGGUUGACUUCUUCCGAAUCUGGUCUGGACACAGGUCGCCAUCGACAUAUUUCAGGACAGUGGCACCAUCUCCCCAUUGUGGCCCCUCGCUCACCCUGCCGAGGUUCACCGGCUUGGAGCCGCUCAGGAGACACGCGGCCGCUUCCGGAGGGCACGGCUCUGUGAGAGGAGACAUGGUCGUUACCUUGGCUGAUUUUCCAGCCUGCGAUUUAUCUGGUCUUCACACAGAAGAGGCUGCAUGUCCCUUGCCCGCUCGGAACCACAGACAAAACCUCCAGGGAUGGGACACAACGUGCCUAUUUUGUGCAGUUCCAAAGACAUUCCUGUUGGGAGUCAUACACCGUAAAGUCCUCUCUCUUACCUCAAGGGCACCCAAACCCACCCAAUUCCAGGAACCACAGGUGACCGAGACCAAAAGGGCCACCGACCGCCCCCGAAAACCUACGUCUGGGGGCCGCAUCUCCCACACCACCCAGCCCCUCAUCCUCUCCACGCCUUCUUCGCUGCUGUGCCCUCAGACACAAGCAGCGUGCGACGGUGGAGGGGAGGCCAGGUGAUGUCCUAGUCACCCCGCUGCACUUACACCAGGGAAUCACACAAGGUUUUCUGUCCCAACUGCAAUCACCCCCCGGUGCGCAUCUUAACCCAAAAUAAUCCCUGACCCGAAGCUGUGAAGGACUUGGAAGUUCACUUGGUCCCAGUGCUCAUCUGACUAGGAAGGGACAAAGGCUUAGAGAAACCACCUAAGCUAACCUCCCGUGCCCCGAACUCCGAAGCUGGCCCAAGUUCCUCCGACAUGAGGAAGAGUCAACA
This is a long non-coding RNA of Mustela lutreola (European mink), 1288 nucleotides long. RefSeq lists it as uncharacterized. The transcript has 3 exons. NCBI's taxonomy places the organism in Eukaryota, Metazoa, Chordata, Mammalia, Carnivora, Mustelidae. The record is from RefSeq and is a predicted model, not a curated record.